This 383-nucleotide ribosomal RNA is filed under the name uncultured eukaryote. Its description in RNAcentral is "partial 18S ribosomal RNA". It matches the Rfam family "Eukaryotic small subunit ribosomal RNA", at positions 592 to 976 of the family's 1831-position model. The record is from RNAcentral.
CAAUAGCGUAUAUUAAAGUUGUUGCAGUUAAAAAGCUCGUAGUUGGAUUUCUGGUGGGAGCGAUCGGUCUGGCGCUUAGCGCGAGUACUUGCAUCGUCUCCGGCCAUCCUUGGGGAAAGUCUGUCUGGCAUUAAGUUGUCAGGCAGAGGAUCCUCAUCGUUUACUGUGAAAAAAUUAGAGUGUUCAAAGCAGGCUUAUGCCGUUGAAUAUAUUAGCAUGGAAUAAUAAGAUAGGACUUUGGUACUAUUUUGUUGGUUUGCGCACCAAAGUAAUGAUUAAUAGGGACAGUUGGGGGUAUUCGUAUUCCGUUGUCAGAGGUGAAAUUCUUGGAUUUACGGAAGACGAACUACUGCGAAAGCAUUUACCAAGGAUGUUUUCAUUAA